GACUACGGGGACUCCAGUGGUUCAAACGCUGUCGUUCCGCCGCGUUACAGAGCCACAGCUGUCCCCGGGUGGCGAAGUGCGGAGACCGGGUUUUGGAGAGGGUGGAGGAAGGGGAGGGAAAGCUGCCAACUUUGGAUACCAACCGCGUACACCCACCGAAGGGGAUGUCCCACUUUUUCCAGCGCUGGGAGCAAAAAGAUAACAGUGAGCGAGGUUGAAAAAUUAUAAAGUCUCCCAGGACGGUGCUCUGUAACCAGCCCAUAGUAGCUACUGCUAUUUUACCAGCUACUGUAUCUUUCCUUCUUUGAUUUCCAGCACCUGACAGUGAAAAGAGCAAUUUGAAGAAAAACAAAAUUUGUCUUCAGUGUGAAAAGCAAUUUAUAAAAGUCUGAAUACUUGCCAGGAACAACUUGAGAAAAAAGACAAAAGGUGGUGGGAGAAAUGUAACCAGCCCACAAUUCCAGUGUUGAUAACAGAUGAGCUCCCUUUCAAGAUGACUGACAUUUACAGAAGUAUACAGAGCAAGAGGAAGGUCUGAGUGAACUGCCAAGCAUCUUAACUUCUCCUGAGACCGAGUACAUCAACAGUUCUCUUGGAAAAGAACAACUGAUUUGGGAGUCCGGCAGACUGACAGCUGCAAGACAUUCAUCCAGUAUCAGGAACACAAUGGGCCUCCAUUUGCCUGCCUUUCUGAAGGCACCAAUCAAAAGUAACAGCUGCCCCCUUUUUCUAUGAGACUUGAUUAUAAUUUUCCAUGGCCAAGGGUUUGCUGUGACACUUCCAUAUCAUUUUUCAGUAUGUAGUCCAGAGAUUACCUACAGAUUUAAGAAACACAGACUGUAAACUAUUAUAUACAGAUAUAUCUCAAAGUAAGCAUACCCAUUAGUGCCAGUUGUUCUGAAAGAUUGAAUGACCCCAGCUAUUUUCCAAAUGUUUUUUCAGAAAGUCAUGAACACACCUUUCUGGGAUCCCACCUAUUUCAAAGACAGGCAAAGCUCUGUGGUUCAGUUCCACCAUCCAGUACCAAGCCCAUAGUAUGUGGACCAUACGCCUUACACAUGGCCUUUUCUCUUUAUGUAAUUGCGGUACCAUAUUCAGCAGAUCUAGACUGUCUCAAAUCAUGUUCCCUCAAGAAGUCCCACAGAAAAAAAAGGUUUCUGUGAUCAAAAAUCUUUUGGGAGGUGCUGCAAACCCUAUCUCCCUCUUAGAGCUUAACCAUGCAUAUUGGGGCAUAAUAUAAACCUUUUCCAGCCUGGGCCACAGAAUGAGACCUCACCUCUGAAAUAAUAAAUCAAUAAACUCUGAGAAAUACACAGAAAAGAAACUUCUGUAACUUUUAGGUCUUAAUUACAAGCAAUUGUAGCUUAA
This is a long non-coding RNA of Rhinopithecus roxellana (golden snub-nosed monkey), 1368 nucleotides long. RefSeq lists it as uncharacterized. The transcript has 2 exons. NCBI's taxonomy places the organism in Eukaryota, Metazoa, Chordata, Mammalia, Primates, Cercopithecidae. The record is from RefSeq and is a predicted model, not a curated record.